This 326-nucleotide ribosomal RNA is filed under the name uncultured Cercomonas. RNAcentral's name for it is "SSU rRNA". The stretch from base 86 to 326 matches the Rfam family "Eukaryotic small subunit ribosomal RNA", at positions 713 to 955 of the family's 1831-position model. Lineage: Eukaryota; Cercozoa; Cercomonadida; Cercomonadidae. The record is from RNAcentral. RNAcentral also lists the same sequence under 1 other name.
GAUUUCUGGUGUGGUGCGCCGAGCCCGCCGUCGUUUAGGCGGUGAGUGCUUGUUCGCGCGCCUACCAUCCUUCCGGAGAGUGCAGCCUACCCUUAACUGGGCCGGGUUGUACGAUCUGGAUCGUUUACUUUGAAAAAAUUAGAGUGUUUAAAGCAGGCGUUUGCUAUGAAUACAUUAGCAUGGAAUAAUAAGAUAGGACUUUGGUCUUAUUUUGUUGGUUUCUAGGACUGAAGUAAUGAUUGAUAGGGACAGUUGGGGGUGCUAGUAUUUAACGGCCAGAGGUGAAAUUCUUGGAUUCGUUAAAGACUAACUUAUGCGAAAGCAUU